Molecule: ribosomal RNA, 484 nt
Filed under: uncultured bacterium
Lineage: Bacteria
Description: bacterial SSU rRNA
Rfam family: Bacterial small subunit ribosomal RNA
Source: RNAcentral
AAUCAACGCUGGCGGCGUGCCUCAGACAUGCAAGUCGAACGAUUAAAGCUCUCUUCGGAGAGUGUAUAGAGUGGCGCACGGGUGAGUAACACGUAAGUAAUCUACCCUCGAGUGGGGAAUAACGUCCGGAAACGGACGCUAAUACCGCAUAAUGCAGCGGCACCGCAAGGUGACAGUUGUUAAAGGAGAAAUUCGCUUGAGGAGGAGCUUGCGGCAGAUUAGCUUGUUGGUAAGGUAACGGCUUACCAAGGCUACGAUCUGUAACCGGUCUUAGAGGACGGUCGGUCACACUGACACUGAAUAACGGGUCAGACUCCUACGGGAGGCAGCAGUCGGGAAUUUUGGGCAAUGGGCGAAAGCCUGACCCAGCAACGCCGCGUGAAGGAUGAAGUAUUUCGGUAUGUAAACUUCGAAAGAAUAGGAAGAAUAAAUGACGGUACUAUUUAUAAGGUCCGGCUAACUACGUGCCAGCAGCCGCGGUAAC